RNAcentral lists this transfer RNA (73 nucleotides) under Mnemiopsis leidyi (sea walnut). RNAcentral describes it as "tRNA-Arg for anticodon CCG". It matches the Rfam family "tRNA". Rfam says of the family: Transfer RNA (tRNA) molecules are approximately 80 nucleotides in length. Their secondary structure includes four short double-helical elements and three loops (D, anti-codon, and T loops). Further hydrogen bonds mediate the characteristic L-shaped molecular structure. tRNAs have two regions of fundamental functional importance: the anti-codon, which is responsible for specific mRNA codon recognition, and the 3' end, to which the tRNAs corresponding amino acid is attached (by aminoacyl-tRNA synthetases). tRNAs cope with the degeneracy of the genetic code in two manners: having more than one tRNA (with a specific anti-codon) for a particular amino acid; and 'wobble' base-pairing, i.e. permitting non-standard base-pairing at the 3rd anti-codon position. The record is from RNAcentral. Lineage: Eukaryota; Metazoa; Ctenophora; Tentaculata; Lobata; Bolinopsidae.
GGCCGCGUGGCCUAAUGGCUAAGGCGCCUGUUUCCGGCGCAGGAGAUUCCAGGUUCGAGUCCUGGCGUGGUCG